AUUUAUAUAGUUUAAAAAAAACUUUACUUUUUCAAUGUAAGAAUAAAAAUUUAUUUUUAUAAAUU
This 65-nucleotide transfer RNA is filed under the name Loxocera sinica. Its description in RNAcentral is "tRNA-Glu". Lineage: Eukaryota; Metazoa; Arthropoda; Insecta; Diptera; Psilidae. The record is from RNAcentral.